CAGUCGCCACGGGAAUACGGAGGGUGCAAGCGUUAAUCGGAAUUACUGGGCGUAGAGCGUGCGUAGGCGGUUCGUUAAGUCUGUUGCGAAAGCCCCGGGCUCAACCUGGGAAUGGCAAUGGAUACUGGCGAGCUAGAGUGUGUCAGAGGAUGGUGGAAUUCCCGGUGCGGCGGUAAAAUGCGUAGAGAUCGGGAGGAACAUCAGUGGCGAAGGCGGCCAUCUGGGACAACACUGACGCUGAGGCACGAAAGCGUGGGGAGCAAACAGGAUUAGAUACCCGCGUAGUCCCUGUCUCUUAUAC
Molecule: ribosomal RNA, 301 nt
Filed under: uncultured bacterium
Lineage: Bacteria
Description: partial 16S ribosomal RNA
Rfam family: Bacterial small subunit ribosomal RNA
Source: RNAcentral